GCAGUCGAACGAUGAACCACUUCGGUGGGGAUUAGUGGCGAACGGGUGAGUAACACGUGGGCAAUCUGCCCUUCACUCUGGGACAAGCCCUGGAAACGGGGUCUAAUACCGGAUGAUACUUCUGCUCGCAUGGGUGGGGGUUGAAAGCUCCGGCGGUGAAGGAUGAGCCCGCGGCCUAUCAGCUUGUUGGUGAGGUAGUGGCUCACCAAGGCGACGACGGGUAGCCGGCCUGAGAGGGCGACCGGCCACACUGGGACUGAGACACGGCCCAGACUCCUACGGGAGGCAGCAGUGGGGAAUAUUGCACAAUGGGCGAAAGCCUGAUGCAGCGACGCCGCGUGAGGGAUGACGGCCUUCGGGUUGUAAACCUCUUUCAGCAGGGAAGAAGCGAAAGUGACGGUACCUGCAGAAGAAGCGCCGGCUAACUACGUGCCAGCAGCCGCGGUAAUACGUAGGGCGCAAGCGUUGUCCGGAAUUAUUGGGCGUAAAGAGCUCGUAGGCGGUCUGUCGCGUCGGAUGUGAAAGCCCGGGGCUUAACCCCGGGUCUGCAUUCGAUACGGGCAGACUAGAGUGUGGUAGGGGAGAUCGGAAUUCCUGGUGUAGCGGUGAAAAAUGCGCA
This 619-nucleotide ribosomal RNA is filed under the name Actinomycetales bacterium A211. RNAcentral describes it as "bacterial SSU rRNA". It matches the Rfam family "Bacterial small subunit ribosomal RNA", at positions 57 to 692 of the family's 1533-position model. The record is from RNAcentral. Lineage: Bacteria; Bacillati; Actinomycetota; Actinomycetes; Actinomycetales.